AGCGAACGCUGGCGGCAGGCCUAAUACAUGCAAGUCGAGCGCACCUUCGGGUGAGCGGCGGACGGGUGAGUAACGCGUGGGAAUAUGCCCUUUGGUACGGAACAACCCAGGGAAACUUGGGCUAAUACCGUAUGUGCCCUACGGGGGAAAGAUUUAUCGCCAUUGGAGUAGCCCGCGUUGGAUUAGCUAGUUGGUAGGGUAAAAGCCUACCAAGGCUACGAUCCAUAGCUGGUCUGAGAGGANGAUCAGCCACACUGGGACUGAGACACGGCCCAGACUCCUACGGGAGGCAGCAGUAGGGAAUCUUGCGCAAUGGGCGAAAGCCUGACGCAGCCAUGCCGCGUGAAUGAUGAAGGUCUUAGAUUGUAAAUUCUUUCACCGGGAGAUAAUGACGGUACCGGAGAAGAAGCCCCGGCUAACUACGUGCCAGCAGCCGCAGUAAU
Molecule: ribosomal RNA, 443 nt
Filed under: uncultured bacterium
Lineage: Bacteria
Description: bacterial SSU rRNA
Rfam family: Bacterial small subunit ribosomal RNA
Source: RNAcentral